Molecule: small nucleolar RNA, 107 nt
Organism: Panicum virgatum (switchgrass)
Lineage: Eukaryota; Viridiplantae; Streptophyta; Magnoliopsida; Poales; Poaceae
Source: RefSeq, a predicted model, not a curated record
AUCCCGUGGUGAGGGCAAGCCAAGAUGUACUCCUAGAGCCUCUCCCAUGCUUCAGGGAUUGACUCAUUGGAUGCCUGCUUGAAGCUCGAUAUUCUUCCACAAAGGGC